This 468-nucleotide ribosomal RNA is filed under the name uncultured bacterium. RNAcentral describes it as "partial 16S ribosomal RNA". It matches the Rfam family "Bacterial small subunit ribosomal RNA", at positions 28 to 507 of the family's 1533-position model. The record is from RNAcentral.
GACGAACGCUGGCGGCGUGCUUAACACAUGCAAGUCGAACGGAAAGGCCCUGCUUUUGUGGGGUGCUCGAGUGGCGAACGGGUGAGUAACACGUGAGUAACCUGCCCUUGAUUUUGGGAUAACUUCAGGAAACUGGGGCUAAUACCGUAUAGGAGAUCCUGCUGCAUGGGGGGGGUUGGAAAGUUUCGGCGGUUGGGGAGGGACUGCCGGUUUGUUUGUUUGUUGGGGGGGUAGUGGCUUACAAAGGCUUGGAUGGGUGGCCGGCCUGGGGGGGUGACCGGCCACAUGGGGACUGGAAUACGGCCCGAACCCCAACGGGGGGCAGCGGGGGGAAUUAUGGCACAAGGGGCGGAGCCUGAUGGCGGCAAGGCGGGGGGCGGAUGAACGGCUUUCGGUUGGAAACCCGUUUCGGCCGGGGAGGAAGCUUUUGUGACGGUAAUGAGUAAAGAAGCACCGGCUAACUACGUG